RNAcentral lists this ribosomal RNA (407 nucleotides) under uncultured bacterium. RNAcentral describes it as "partial 16S ribosomal RNA". It matches the Rfam family "Bacterial small subunit ribosomal RNA", at positions 30 to 526 of the family's 1533-position model. The record is from RNAcentral.
AUUGAACGCUGGCGGCAGGCCUAACACAUGCAAGUCGAGCGGAGCGGCAGACGGGUGAGUAAUGCCGAGGAAUCUGCCUGGUAGUGGGGGAUAACGUCGGGAAACGGGCGCUAAUACCGCAUACUAUCAGAUGAGCCUAGUGCGGAUUAGCUAGAUGUUGGGGUAAAGGCCUACCAAGGCGCCGAUCCGUAACUGGUCUGAGAGGAUGAGCAGUCACACUGGAAUUGAGCCACGGGCCAUACUCCUCAGGUAGGCAGCAGUGGGGAAGAUUGGACAAUGGGCGAAAGCCUGCCCCAGCCAUGCCGCGUGUGUGAAGAGGGUCUUCGGUCGGUAAAGCCCUUUAAGUUGGGAGGCGUUACCAACAGAAGAAGCACCGGCUAACUUCGUGCCAGCAGCCGCGGUAAUAC